UACGUAGGGGGCAAGCGUUGUCCGGAUUUAUUGGGCGUAAAGCGCGUGUAGGCGGCCUGGCAAGUCGGGUGUGAAAGCCCUCAGCUCAACUGAGGAAGUGCGCCCGAAACUGCUGGGCUCGAGUGCCGGAGAGGGUGGCGGAAUUCCCCAAGUAGAGGUGAAAUUCGUAGAGAUGGGGAGGAACACCGGUGGCGAAGGCGGCCACCUGGACGGUCACUGACGCUGAGACGCGAAAGCGUGGGUAGCAAACAGG
Molecule: ribosomal RNA, 253 nt
Filed under: uncultured bacterium
Lineage: Bacteria
Description: partial 16S ribosomal RNA
Rfam family: Bacterial small subunit ribosomal RNA
Source: RNAcentral